CGGCGGACGGGUGAGUAACGCGUGGGUAACCUGCCUCAUACAGGGGGAUAACAGUCAGAAAUGACUGCUAAUACCGCAUAAGACCACGGUACCGCAUGGUACAGUGGUAAAAACUCCAGUGGUAUGAGAUGGACCCGCGUCUGAUUAGGUAGUUGGUGGGGUAACGGCCUACCAAGCCGACGAUCAGUAGCCGACCUGAGAGGGUGACCGGCCACAUUGGGACUGAGACACGGCCCAG
RNAcentral lists this ribosomal RNA (238 nucleotides) under uncultured bacterium. RNAcentral's name for it is "partial 16S ribosomal RNA". It matches the Rfam family "Bacterial small subunit ribosomal RNA", at positions 96 to 334 of the family's 1533-position model. The record is from RNAcentral.